CAAUAGCGUAUACUAAAGUUGUUGCAGUUAAAAGCUCGUAGUUGGAUUUCUGGUCGUGGAAGUCGGUCCGCUCCUCACGGAGUGUGCACCAGGCUUCUGCAUCCAUCUUCGGAGAGAACAUAUCUGGCAUUUAGUUGUCGGGUGUGAGAUCUUCGUCAUUUACUGUGAGCAAAAUAGAGUGUUCAAAGCAGGCUUAGGCCGUUGAAUACAUUAGCAUGGAAUAAUAAGAUAAGACCUUGGUCUAUUUUGUUGGUUUGCAUUCCAAGGUAAUGAUUAAUAGGGAUAGUUGGGGUGAUUAUCGUAUUCAAUUGUCAGAGGUGAAAUUCUUGGAUUAUCGGAAGAUGAACUUCUGCGAAAGCAUCUGCCAAGGAUGUUUUCAUUGAUCAAGAA
RNAcentral lists this ribosomal RNA (390 nucleotides) under uncultured eukaryote. RNAcentral describes it as "SSU rRNA". It matches the Rfam family "Eukaryotic small subunit ribosomal RNA", at positions 592 to 983 of the family's 1831-position model. The record is from RNAcentral.